This 253-nucleotide ribosomal RNA is filed under the name uncultured bacterium. RNAcentral's name for it is "partial 16S ribosomal RNA". It matches the Rfam family "Bacterial small subunit ribosomal RNA", at positions 524 to 776 of the family's 1533-position model. The record is from RNAcentral.
UACGUAGGGGGCAAGCGUUAUCCGGAUUUACUGGGUGUAAAGGGAGCGUAGACGGCGAUGCAAGUCUGAAGUGAAAGGCGGGGGCCCAACCCCCGGACUGCUUUGGAAACUGUAUGGCUGGAGUGCAGGAGAGGUAAGUGGAACUCCUAGUGUAGCGGUGAAAUGCGUAGAUAUUAGGAGGAACACCAGUGGCGAAGGCGGCUUACUAGACUGUAACUGACGUUGAGGCUCGAAAGCGUGGGGAGCAAACAGG